This 239-nucleotide ribosomal RNA is filed under the name uncultured bacterium. RNAcentral describes it as "partial 16S ribosomal RNA". It matches the Rfam family "Bacterial small subunit ribosomal RNA", at positions 95 to 334 of the family's 1533-position model. The record is from RNAcentral.
UAGGCGGACGGGUGAGUAACGCGUGAGGAACCUGCCUUGAAGAGGGGGACAACAGUUGGAAACGACUGCUAAUACCGCAUGACGCAUAGGGGUCGCAUGAUUCUUAUGCCAAAGAUUUAUCGCUUCAAGAUGGCCUCGCGUCUGAUUAGCUAGUUGGCGGGGUAACGGCCCACCAAACCGACGAUGGAUAGGGGUUCUGAGAGGAAGGUCCCCCACAUUGGAACUGAGACACGGUCCAA